This 508-nucleotide ribosomal RNA is filed under the name uncultured bacterium. RNAcentral describes it as "partial 16S ribosomal RNA". It matches the Rfam family "Bacterial small subunit ribosomal RNA", at positions 28 to 507 of the family's 1533-position model. The record is from RNAcentral.
GACGAACGCUGGCGGCGUGCCUAAUACAUGCAAGUCGAACGCUUCUUUCCUCCCGAGUGCUUGCACUCCAUUGGAACGAGGGGCGGCGGGCGGGUGAGUAACACGUUGGUAACCUACCCACCAGGGGGGAAUCCCACUUGGCAACAGGUGAUAAUACCGCAUAACAGUUUAUGCUGCAUGGCAUAAGAGUGAAAGGCGCUUUCGGGUGUCGCUGAUGGAUGGACCCGCGGUGCAUUAGCUAGUUGGUGGGGUACCGGCUCACCAAGGCCAAGAUGGAUAGCCGAACUGAGAGGGUGAGGGUGCACAGUGGGACUGAGACACGGCCCAGACUCCGACGGGAGGCAGCAGUAGGGAAUCGGCGGCAAGGGACGAAAGUCUGAGCGAGCAACAGCGCGGGAGUGAAGAAGGUGUUCGGAUCGGAAAACUCUGUUGUUAGAGAAGAACAAGGAGGUUAGUAGCUGAACGGCUGCUGACGGUAGCGAACCAGAAAGCCACGGCUAACUACGUG